AUGCCUUAAACUUAUGAGUAAGGAAAAUAGCAAUUCCAGGUGAUGCCCCAGUCCUCACUGCUAAUGUGAGACCAAUUUUUGAGUGGGUAAAGUUUGCAACUAAGACAACCUGCCUA
Cricetulus griseus (Chinese hamster) is the source of this 116-nucleotide small nuclear RNA. Its record names the gene U12. It matches the Rfam family "U12 minor spliceosomal RNA". Rfam says of the family: Although the U12 sequence is very divergent from that of U2, the two are functionally analogous. Lineage: Eukaryota; Metazoa; Chordata; Mammalia; Rodentia; Cricetidae. The record is from Ensembl.